This 395-nucleotide ribosomal RNA is filed under the name uncultured bacterium. Its description in RNAcentral is "bacterial SSU rRNA". It matches the Rfam family "Bacterial small subunit ribosomal RNA", at positions 363 to 775 of the family's 1533-position model. The record is from RNAcentral.
AUUAGUAAUGGGCGAAAGCCUGAACUAGCAACGCCGCGUGUGCGAAGAAGGCCUUCGGGUUGUAAAGCACUUUUUGAGAGGAGGAGGAAGGACGGUACUCUCAGAAUAAGUCUCGGCUAACUACGUGCCAGCAGCCGCGGUAACACGUAGGAGGCGAACGUGAUCCGGAUUUACUGGGCGUAAAGCGCGUGUAGGUGGUUUGGUAAGUAGGGCGUGAAAGCUCCUGGCUCAACUGGGAGAGGCCGUUCUAAACUGCCGAACUAGAGGAUGGUAGAGGGAGGUGGAAUUCCGGGUGUAGCGGUGGAAUGCGCAGAUAUCCGGAGGAACACCAGUGGCGAAAGCGGCCUCCUGGACCACUCCUGACACUCAGACGCGAAAGCUAGGGUAGCAAACGG